ACCCCUAGGCGAGCGUGGGCGGCCUACACCUUCCCUUCCCCUUUCACCACCCCGAGGGUCAGGGAUCCGUCUUGGGCCAACUGACUUGUUUCCUCGUUCCUCCCCAGCCGUCCCAGGAGUCCUGACAUUGGCUAGCCAGAGCUCGUCGCGUCUGCCUGAAAGGCCGCUCCUCUACCAAGAGCUCUCAGAUUCCCUAGGAAACCCCCUGAGGGGUUAGCAAUCACCUCUAGUAGGUUUCGGUCCCAAGAUACUGAAGGUCAGGUAAAAUGGGGAAUUCAGGAGGGUUCUCUGAAAAGUACGUUGAUAAAACACCUAUUGUUGACUGAAGGGGUGUAGAUUACAUUGGAUUAAUGGGAUAUGGCCUACUUACACCUGGCUGUGGUUCCACCAUCAGUGGCUGUUGGCAAGUUGCCUCUGAAAAAUGAGGAUAAUAAAGGCUGAUUACUGCUACAGGGUUGCUUUGAAGGUUAAAUGCUGUAAUAUAUGUGAAGUGCUUAGCAUAGUAUCUGAAAGUACUCAGUUAAUGUUAGAUAUUAUUACAUGGACAAAUGAAGGAAGAAAUAGGACCCUAAAAGGUUUCAAGUCAACUCUCCUAAAUUGUGAAGAAUAGGCUUUAAUCCCUUGUACUAACCAGGUUUACAGCUCUAUUUCCUAUCUCCACUUCUUUCAUUGUAUUCAGUCAGUCAGUCAACAAACAUUCACCGAAACUCAAACAGACACUGAGGGGACACACUGGUGAGAGAAACAGAAAAGCUCUGCCUUCAUGGAGCUGACAGUCUAGUGGGAAAAAGAGGGACAAAAGUACUUCAUCACAUUUUGAAGGAAACAUGCUAUAAAUGUUAUGAACAGAAAUCUGGGAGAGCAAAUACCAGGAUAGCUUAAAAAAAACCAGAGUGGUCAAGAAAGGCCCAUCUGAGGGAUGAGAAGGAGCCAGUAGAGAAAGGAGCCAGCCAGUAGAGAAAUGCCCUGGGGAAUUGUUUAAGGCAGAGGAAACAGCUGUGCAAAGGACCGGAGGUAAGAGGGAACUUGGCUGUUGGAACUAAGUGCUGGGGAAUCCAUGGUGCAAGGAGGAGCCUGCCCUGAGAAUGGAGAGCAUCACCUUUUGUACCAUAUAGGGCGCCUAGAGUGCAGAUGGAACUGGCCAAGUUGCAUUAGAAGGAGGAAUUCAGUAAAGACACAGCUAUGUUACAACCACAUGGGCAAAGUUUUGCAACAGAAUGGCCUUUAAAUAGAAUACUGCCCAGUUGAAAACUUAGGCAAUCGUAAUGGAAUAAACGAAACAAAUCGAUCUGGCAAAAAUACAGAAGAUUUGCAGAAACAGGCUGUUCACUUCCCACCCUGGUGCUGUCACUGCAGAUUGCUUCAGAGCUGCUGUCUCCUGUGCUUGGACAAAGUGUCGGGCAUCCUUCUUUGUCAUCACAAUCCUGGCGUCUGCCCUGUGUGCUGAGUGCCUUGCAGAGCCAGCAGGCCAGCCCC
Molecule: long non-coding RNA, 1476 nt
Organism: Lagenorhynchus albirostris (white-beaked dolphin)
Lineage: Eukaryota; Metazoa; Chordata; Mammalia; Artiodactyla; Delphinidae
Exons: 4
Source: RefSeq, a predicted model, not a curated record